This 68-nucleotide transfer RNA is filed under the name Lottia goshimai. Its description in RNAcentral is "tRNA-Pro". It matches the Rfam family "tRNA". Rfam says of the family: Transfer RNA (tRNA) molecules are approximately 80 nucleotides in length. Lineage: Eukaryota; Metazoa; Mollusca; Gastropoda; Lottiidae. The record is from RNAcentral.
CAGAGGAUAGUUUCAUUUAAAACACCAGUUUUGGGAACUGGAGAUCGAGGUAAAGCCUUGUCCUUUGA